GAUGAACGCUGGCGGCGUGCCUAAUACAUGCAAGUCGAGCGAAAAGACGCGGCGCUUGCUCCUUUGACGUUAGCCGCAGACGGGUGAGUAACACGUGGAUAACCUACCUAUCUGACUGGGAUAACCUCGGGAAACCGGAGCAAAUCCCGGAUAAUCUCUUGAACCGCAUGGUUCAAUAGUGAAAGACGGUUUUGCUGUCAUGUAUCGAUGGAUCUCCGCCGCAUUAGCUGGUUGGUAAGGUAACGGCUUACCAAGGGAACGAUGCGUAGCCGACCUGAGAGGGGGGUCGGCGACAUGGGAGCGUAGACACGGUCCAGGCGCCUACGGGAGGGAGCAGUAGGCAAUCUGCCGCAGUGGUCGAAAGUCUUGCGGAGCGACGGCGCGUGAGUGGUGAAGGUCUUGGGAUCGUAAUACUCGGUUAUGAGUUGAAAACAAAUGUGUAAGGAACUAUGCACGUCGUGACGGUACCUGAUCAAAAAGCCACGGCUAACUACGUG
This 497-nucleotide ribosomal RNA is filed under the name uncultured bacterium. Its description in RNAcentral is "partial 16S ribosomal RNA". It matches the Rfam family "Bacterial small subunit ribosomal RNA", at positions 28 to 507 of the family's 1533-position model. The record is from RNAcentral.